This 253-nucleotide ribosomal RNA is filed under the name uncultured bacterium. RNAcentral describes it as "partial 16S ribosomal RNA". It matches the Rfam family "Bacterial small subunit ribosomal RNA", at positions 524 to 776 of the family's 1533-position model. The record is from RNAcentral.
UACAGAGGAUGCAAGCGUUAUCCGGAAUGAUUGGGCGUAAAGCGUCCGCAGGUGGUUUUGUAAGUCUGCUGUUAAAGCGUUAGGCUCAACCUAAUAAGGGCAGUGGAAACUAUGAGACUAGAGUAUGUUAGGGGUAGAGGGAAUUCCCAGUGUAGCGGUGAAAUGCGUAGAGAUGUGGAGGAACACCGAUGGCGAAGGCAGCCCCCUGGGCUAACACUGACGCUCAUGCACGAAAGCGUGGGGAGCAAACAGG